Molecule: long non-coding RNA, 907 nt
Filed under: Homo sapiens (human)
Lineage: Eukaryota; Metazoa; Chordata; Mammalia; Primates; Hominidae
Description: HSALNT0195993
Source: RNAcentral
GACCCAAAAACGUCCAAUGAGAGACCAACAGGCCCCUGACCUAAGUCAGAGCUAGACUGCAGAACUCUCAGCCCAGCUCUGCAGCAGACAUCUGCGUCAUCCUCCCAGAAAUUCAACUCAGGCCACACUUCUGGCAAAAGAAGUUUCACCCUGACUGUCCUUGUUUUCAGUCAGCUGGGCUCAGUGGGAUCUAAAAACCUGGGACAGAGUGUAGAUCCAGUAGAGGAGCCCAGGCCUCUCCUCCACGCACCCCUCACUGGCACCCCUCACCAUCUCCCAUACAUUCCCUAUGGUGCAGCCUCUCAGUCCUAGCACUAAGCUCAAAAUACAGAUAAGAGAACAAACAGUGCAAAAAGCAAAAGGUGAACAACAGAGUAAUUCUUGACACAUACAAUACAAAAAUAAAAAUAAAGAAUCCCACCCCUUUAACCUAAACUUCAUGUACCUAUAUCUUGGAGGAGCCACAAAACAAAAACAAAAACAAAAAAACUUUCAGGCUACAAUUCUCAAACGACUAAAUGCUGGCCUGGAGUAAUCAUUAAAGAGCCAAAACCCAGGACAUGAGCCCAAGAGCUACCUAUUUGGUGGUAAAGGAGAAGACAUUCAAGCAGAGAACCCCAAAUCCCCGUGUCUCCUUCCCUUCUUGGCUAUAACUUAGUGGGAUGGUUGAGAGGGAGAAGAAAUUUCAAAUGAGCCAGAUUAAGGAAACAAACAAACAAACAAAACUGAGAAGAAAUCAAGUCCCCAACAGGCACUGAAAUCAAAAUGAUUUGUUGUGGUAACAAGUCAGAGGCGAUCUGAGGACCCGACAUAACCGAAACGUCUUGGAUGCUGGACAGUCUAUAACUGGCACAUGCCAGGGAGACAAGCAAUGACAAAGCUCAAACACUAAAGGUGGGACCAUCAC